Molecule: transfer RNA, 64 nt
Filed under: Gondwanalimnadia sp. MT-2020
Lineage: Eukaryota; Metazoa; Arthropoda; Branchiopoda; Diplostraca; Limnadiidae
Description: tRNA-Met
Source: RNAcentral
AGAAAAGUAAGCUAAGACUAAGCUAGUGGGCUCAUACCCCAUUUAUGGAGUUAUCCCUUUUCUA